AACAGAGGGUGCAAACGUUGUUCGGAAUUACUGGGCGUAAAGCGCGUGUAGGCGGCUCGGCAAGUCGGAUGUGAAAGCCCUGGGCUUAACCUAGGAAGUGCAUUCGAAACUGCCAAGCUUGAGUUCUGGAGAGGAAGGCGGAAUUCUCGGUGUAGAGGUGAAAUUCGUAGAUAUCGAGAGGAACACUGGUGGCGAAGGCGGCCUUCUGGACAGCAACUGACGCUGAGACGCGAAAGCGUGGGGAGCAAACAGG
Molecule: ribosomal RNA, 253 nt
Filed under: uncultured bacterium
Lineage: Bacteria
Description: partial 16S ribosomal RNA
Rfam family: Bacterial small subunit ribosomal RNA
Source: RNAcentral